CGUCAUUGUCUGCAGUAACGUCGCCACAACUUCUACGUCGAAACUCUAUUAUACCGUACAAUGUCGUAGCAAUGGCGUGCGUGUGUAUUACUCAUCUUCCUAUGUAUUACAAAUGAUCUACGCUAUAAUUUGAUAAGGAAAUAAACUAACUAAUUUUAAAGAAUAUUUCUGUCGCAAAAGAAAAUGCAAGUUUGUAAAUUAAUUUACCGCAAAUGAAAGAAAUUUACCGUAGACUCUAAUUUCAUCUUUUCUAUAUUAGAGUGAUUUCCGAACCUUUUUUCAAUGCUGGCAUGGAUUGUUUAAUUCUUUUAUGAAUCAAAUAUCGAGUUUGAAUUUGUCCCGGUUAACACAGUGUUGUCAGAAUGAAUUGAUCGGCUUUAAUACUAAGAUCGGGUAUACACCUCGUUUUCAAUCUUACUUCUGCAUGUUUGUAUUUAAAAAAGUAGACCUAUUUUCUGCAUAUUUUCAUGUUCGUCAUUUCUGCAUGUUGUUAAUCUGAGGAUUUGCACACAAUAUAGUCUACAUUAUAAACCUAUUUCAUUAGUCAUGUUUACACACAUGCUCAAGACGCAUCUCUGCCAAAACAUAUUUUAUUUUACAAAAUUUCCAAUCUCGAUCACUUUCCCUUUUCUUUAACUAAAUGACAAAGAAUGAUGUAAUGUU
Molecule: long non-coding RNA, 663 nt
Filed under: Mytilus galloprovincialis (Mediterranean mussel)
Lineage: Eukaryota; Metazoa; Mollusca; Bivalvia; Mytilida; Mytilidae
Source: RNAcentral